GGUUGUGAGGGAGAUCUGGCUGCGACAUCUGUCACUCCAUUGAUCACCAGGGUUGAUUCGGCUGAUCUGGCUGGCUAGGCGGGUGUCCCCUUCCUCCCUCACCGCUCCAUGUGCGUCCCUUCCGAAGCUGCGCGCUCUGUGGAAGAGGACGAUGUCCCAGGUAUAGAAGGAGUGUACCAAGGUCUCCAGUCUUCGGUCCCGGGUAUACGAUAGCUGCGCUCCCCUGCUAGAACCUCCAAACAAGUUCAAGGUUAUUCACUUUCCUUUACAUAUUCUGCCAGGGCAUAUUCUUCUUCUUUGACUGCUUGUUUUACUUGUAAGAGUCCUCUGC
RNAcentral lists this small nuclear RNA (331 nucleotides) under Anolis carolinensis (green anole). RNAcentral's name for it is "7SK RNA". It matches the Rfam family "7SK RNA", at positions 1 to 263 of the family's 331-position model. Rfam says of the family: 7SK was discovered as an abundant small nuclear RNA in the mid-70s but a possible function has only recently been suggested. Two independent studies have found that 7SK RNA binds the CDK9/cyclin T complex (known as elongation factor P-TEFb). The record is from Rfam by way of RNAcentral. Lineage: Eukaryota; Metazoa; Chordata; Lepidosauria; Squamata; Anolidae.